RNAcentral lists this unclassified non-coding RNA (5320 nucleotides) under Leishmania donovani. RNAcentral describes it as "gene:LdHU3.23.1020(CDS-product:kinesin_putative)". The record is from RNAcentral. Lineage: Eukaryota; Euglenozoa; Kinetoplastea; Trypanosomatida; Trypanosomatidae.
UUCGCGUGUGGCUCCCUUACCCAGCUCCUUUCCUGUUGGUGUCAGUCCCCCCGCCGCCUUCCUCCCCCCUCUCUCUCCCUCUUCCAUACUCACUCCCUCUCACGCUUCCAUUCGCACAACGCUGUGCUCAUCAGCCCACCACACCUCGAUCCGUUUCUCUUUUCUUUUUCCUUUCUUUUUUUUUUCCUAGCUUCGUAGUCUUCGCUUCUCCUCUCAUCUCAUCUCUCUUCGCUAGAGUACAUUGCUUUCACUUCAGUUAUCAACCGCAACGACGAGUACCACACACGGCCCACACCCCGCACACCCUCCCCGCCACACCCCGUAGCUGUUUUUCCUUCUUGCGGGUGCUAGACCGCUUCGCCCUCCCCUGACGACGUGCAGCCUUCGAAGGAGCACACGCACACACAGACCCGGCAACGACAAGGAUGCUCAACGGUGAGCCGAGGCUAAUCCAGGCGCCAAAGCGUCUCAAAGGGCGCGGCGCAGGCCGCGGCACCACACGGGAUGGCUAUGGCGACACGCCGUAUCGCGGGCCGACGUCCGCGCGUCCCACGACCCCGGUGCGCAGUGGACGUAAGGCGGCUCGUUCGCCUUUGCAGCCCCGCCUUCAGAACCCGGACCGCAACCUCACCACCGAGGACGCCGCGGAGGGCACCGAGGCUUUCAAGAACCGCGUUUCUGAGAUCACGUCAUUUCGAGUCGUGUCGCGUGUGCGGCCCUUUAUCAAGGAAGAGCUGGCCGAGAUGGAAGGCCAGGAGCGUCGCUCUGUCGUCGAGAUGACGAACACCAAGACCAUUCUGCUAGACCCGAAGGACGGCUGGGCCCCCAAGGCGCAGUUCGACUUCGACGCGUCGCUCUGGUCGAUCCCGCCGACGCACCGUAUUGUGCACACAUUCCAGGAUACGAAGCACAAGACGUACGCAACACAAAAGGAUGUGUACAACCUCAUCGCCAAAGACCUCGUUCCGCACGUGUUCAACGGCUUCAACAGCUGCAUCCUCACAUACGGCCAAACCGGAAGCGGCAAGACGUACACGAUGAUGGGCUUGUACGACCCGAACGCCUCAUGCGGCGGCGACGGAGAGGAGGGCAUCAUCCCGCGUGUGUCCAACGACAUCUUCAUUAUCCUCAAGGAGCGCAUGGAGGAGGAGGCCAAGACGAGGCCGCCGCGCGACCGCACGAAGUUUCGCGUCGAGGUGAGCUUUGUCGAGAUUUACAUGGAGCGCGUGCGCGACCUCCUCGACCCCGCACUGCGCCACACCCGCGGCAACGAGCGGCUGCAGGAUGCGCGCAUCCGGCAGGACCCGUACAGCGGCCCCUUCGUGGAGGGCGUCACCAAGUACGAGGUAGAGAAUUGGGCACAGUGCUGCACCCUGCUUGAGCGCGGCUCACAGCACCGCACGACGUGCGCGACGGCGGUGCACAACCAGUCGAGUCGCAGCCACGCCAUCUUUCAGCUGACAGUGGUGCAGGAGCAGGUGGUGCCAGGAAACAACAAGUACGCCCUCCCCGCCUUCAAGACGCAGGCGGGCCGUAUCAACCUGGUCGAUCUCGCCGGCUCUGAACGCGGCGGUUUCCAAGACUACGUCAAGGAGUCGGCAGCCAUCAACACCUCGCUGCUGGCGCUGCGUCGUGUGAUUGACAACCUCACGGAGCGGCAGAACAUGCUAAUGGAGAUGGCGGAGGCAGAGAUCACCGGCAAGCACUACCAAGAGCGGCCACUCCCGCAGGUGCCGUUCCGCGACAGUGUGCUGACAUGGUUGCUGAGCGACAGCAUUGGUGGCAAUGCUCGCACGACCAUGGUGGCCACACUCAGCCCGCUGGUGAAGAACUACGCCGAUACCCUGGCGACCCUGCAAUGGAGCAGCAGGGCUCGCAACCUCGUCACGUUGGUGAAGAUGAACGACCAGGCAUUGGUGCACAACGGCAUGGCGUCACACGCCGGCGCCCUCGACAACGCCGUGCGCAUUCAGCGGCAGAAUUUGGAUAGUCUGCGCCAAACGCUGCGCUCAAAGCAGGAAGCAGCGCAGCAGCUGGAGCGACAGACGAAGGAGCUGAAAAAGUCGCUCACCAAGACGCGCGGGCGCGAGCGGGCGAUCCUACAGGACCGCGCCGCCCUCAUCAUCCAGCGUGCUUUCCACCGCUUCAUGUUCUACAAGAAGUACGAGGCCUACGAGCUGCACCACGCGAAGCUGCGAGGCGGGAAUAAGAGCGGCACCGGCGAGGCCGCUGAUUAUCAGAAGAUUCGCAAGGAAGCGGAGGCGCGCGAGCAGGCGGCGAAGGAGGCGCUGAAGGCUGAGGAGGCGCUGACAGACGAAAAGGCCGCUGCCGUGGCGAGGUACGAGUCGAAUCACGAAGCUCGGGCUUUGCGCCGCCGUGAGGCCGAGGAACGUCGGGCAAGGGUCGUUGAGGUGAUCAACGGCAACGAGUUGCUCCGGCAGUACGGGGAGAAACGCCGGGAAGAGGUGGAGGCGCUUCGCAGCGUGGCUGAUGACGAAAAGAAGGAGAGGGAGAUGGCCGUGAAGAAGCUGGCGGACAUGAUAAAGGUCAUCGCUGACAGCAAAACGGACCAGCACAAGCGGAAGGUAGAGGAGGAUCAGAAGAUGUUGGAGAUGCUGCGCAAGAAGCGCGACGAAGUGCGCUCGCGGAGGUACGAGGUGCUGCGGCAGCUCCAGGCUUUACGGGAGCGCCACAAGAAGGUGGUGAAGAAGUGAAGCCGAGCGCUCCACUUGCGCGACUGGGUCAGCGCGUGCCUUCGAAGGGAUGAGCCGGCAGAGUGUGCCUCUGCUGGAGAGGUUCGAGGCGGUCACGCAUCUAGGUCGUCGUGGUGGUAGCACAGUAUGUGCAUAAUGAAUCGAAGGAGAGGAGUUCCAGCAUCGAGGGACGAGGAGGGGGACUCUGCUCCGUCUAAAGAAUCUUACCACCUGCUCUGCAGAACUGUAUAGUGGAUUAAGCUCCCUCUUUACACUGUCUUGCACUCCACGCACUCGCUCGAUCGCUCAGUUUUUCUUUUGUGACUUGCCAUCCUCACUGUUUCUCUUCGCUGGCGUUAUCGUGAGGCCACCCCUCCCUGCCUUUUCAUUUUACUGUUGAACUGCCCACCCGCCCCUGCUCACUGUCACUGUAACUGUGUCGCUUGUGACUCCUCUUUCCGUUCUUCGACGACACCUUAAAGGCUCCGUCGGCCCUUUUUUGCCCGAUCCCCGCCCUCCUGCCCCGACUCACACGCCCACUCCCUCAUCUUCCCUGUUUUGCGUUUCACUUUUUUUGUCGUGUCAUUGUAUGGGUUCACUCAACAGCGUUUUUUUUUUUAUUUGGUUGAUGGGUCUUUAGUCCGUUCUACCCCCUCCCCCCCCCCCCGGACAAGGCUUUCUUGCCUCCACCGUUUGCGGCGAAGGGAUUUUGGAGAGGACAGGCGAGAGAGAAGGGGGGGCGAGACGUGUUCCUCUGUGUCCGUCUCUCGUUCUCUCUCUGCGUGUUCGCGUUGGUGGCAACACUAAUUUUUUUGUUUGUCUUUGUUCACUGUACCCUCCCUCCUCCCCCUUCCCAUUGGCCCUCGCUUGGAUCAGGAUGGUCGAGUCACGCUCAGGCACACAGGCAGCAACAAGAAAAUAAAGAGAUAUGUUCGAUGGGCGAGGCACGUAAGCGCCAAACAAGAAAAAAAGGAGUGUCAGCGGAUGCAUUCUUGGGGCCGGCGUGUGGGACAAUGUUGCUCGUCUCCGCUUUCUCCCACCCCUGUCCAUCGCACUCUUCCUUCUCCGUGUUGGUGAGCUCGAUCGCUUCCCUUUCCACGCCGACUGCUUCACCUGCGUGUUCUUCUUUUCUGUGAUCUUUCUUGUCCUUUCUUCCUCCCACUCCCCCACCCCCGCCCCCUGUACCCUGGAGAGAUGGAUAUUGAGCUGGUUGCUGUUUUUGUCUGUCUUGUUUCAUCUCGAGUGUGCAUUGCUCUCUUCUUGUGUGUCGUCCAUGACAGACACAUUCUUUCUCUUGUUUUUGUCUUUUCGUGAUUCGCCCUUCCCUCUCCAUCUGCGUGUCGUGCGUGUGGAGCUACUUCGAGUCUCCUCUCACAUACUUGUGUGCCAGAGUAUGCGUGUGUGAUCACAUGCCUCUGCUCUUUUCCUUCCUCUAUCACCGCCACCUCUCUCCUUCCCACGCGCUCGCUUUCUCAUCCUCUAUGCUUUGUAGGCUCAUGUAUUACCAUCCAUCUCGUAUUUUUAGUUUUCUUGAUUUCGCUUCUGUGGUGUGGAGAAACACGCGCGCGCUCGCUCUGGUGGUUCACAAUUUGGCGCCAAUACGUGCUGGUGGGCUUUGAGGAAAGGGCGGGCCGGCGGGCGGCUACGGCGAUAGAGGGAGGGAGAGAAUACAAAGCAAAAGCAGAAAGGGGAGGUGGCAGUCAUGUAUGUGUGCAGCAGUGUUGAAACAUACCCCCCACCCUCACUACCCACCCACCCCACCCGCCCUCACCACCUCACGUUGUGCUUAUAUUUCUGUUUUAUCGAUUUUUUUUGUUUACUUCCUUUUUGUUGUUGUUUUCGAUCUGUACAUCUUUCACCUGGCAUUCCCCCACCCCCUCCCCCUACAGACCCCCCCCCCAUCCCGCCGACACCCCUCCCCUCCCCUUGCGCGACUGUUACGCCGCUCCGCCUCCUCUCUGCUGGGCAAAAGAGAAACCAUCAACACACACUAGAUCUCUGUUUUUUUUUUUCUGAGUUUUUCAGUGUCGUUAUUAUUUCUCCUCUUCCGGUUUUUCUGUUUAAUGAUUAUCGGGCUUUCUUUCUUCGUGUUGUUGUUGGCGAAGGCGUCUCUUGCGGCUUUCUCUGCCUCACGGGCUGUCUCUUGACUCUCUCCGACGAUCUCUCUCUAUAUACAUACAUAUAUGUAUGUUCUCACCUCUGACCGUUUCCUUUUCGGCAUUCUUUUUUUUUACUGUUAUGUUUGGUUGUUUGUCCCCUUCUUUGUUGCUCACUCGUUUUUCAGUACAGCUGUGUGUGCAUGUGUGCGUGUGUGUGUGUGUUUUCGUGACGUUGCCGACUCGAUCUAGAAGCAGCAUGCGCUUGCACGAACAUAGGGCCAAGUAGACACCGACGGCCAGGCAGACAUGAGGGCGUUUAAGGCCACGCUCGUAUGAAGAUGUCUCGUUAUUAAAUAUGCGUGCCCACAAAAAGAAACUCCUCGCGCCGGUUCUCCGAUCAUCUUUCCUACCCCCUCCCCCCACUCUCCUCCCCCCCCCUCUGCACAUCGCAGCGGGCCGGCUGCAUGCAUGUGAGUGCUUCGCAGUCAACACUCACAGCAAGCAGGCACAGCCCCUCGCUGCCUCGAG